AUUGAACGCUGGCGGCAGGCCUAACACAUGCAAGUCGAACGGUAACAGGAAGAAGCUUGCUUCUUUGCUUACGAGUGGCGGACGUGUGAGUAAUGUCUGGGAAACUUCCUGAUGGAGGGGGAUAACUACUGGAAACGGUAGCUAAUACCGCAUAACGUCGCAAGACCAAAGAGGGGGACCUUCGGGCCUCUUGCCAUCGGAUGUGCCCAGAUGGGAUUAGCUAGUAGGUGGGGUAACGGCUCACCUAGGCGACGAUCCCUAGCUGGUCUGAGAGGAUGACCAGCCACACUGGAACUGAGACACGGUCCAGACUCCUACGGGAGGCAGCAGUGGGGAAUAUUGCCCAAUGGGCGCAAGCCUGAUGCAGCCAUGCCGCGUGUAUGAAGAAGGCCUUCGGGUUGUAAAGUACUUUCAGCGGGGAGGAAGGGAGUAAAGUUAAUACAUUUGCUCAUUGACGUUACCCGCAGAAGAAGCACCGGCUAACUCCGUG
Molecule: ribosomal RNA, 490 nt
Filed under: uncultured bacterium
Lineage: Bacteria
Description: partial 16S ribosomal RNA
Rfam family: Bacterial small subunit ribosomal RNA
Source: RNAcentral